AGUGAACGCUGGCGGUAGGCCUAACACAUGCAAGUCGAACGGCAGCACAGUAAGAGCUUGCUCUUACGGGUGGCGAGUGGCGGACGGGUGAGGAAUACAUCGGAAUCUACUUUUUCGUGGGGGAUAACGUAGGGAAACUUACGCUAAUACCGCAUACGACCUUCGGGUGAAAGCAGGGGAUCUUCGGACCUUGCGCGAUUGAAUGAGCCGAUGUCGGAUUAGCUAGUUGGCGGGGUAAAGGCCCACCAAGGCGACGAUCCGUAGCUGGUGUGAGAGGAUGAUAAGCCACACUGGAACUGAGACACGGUCCAGACUCCUACGGGAGGCAGCAGUGGGGAAUAUUGGACAAUGGGCGCAAGCCUGAUCCAGCCAUACCGAGUGGGUGAAGAAGGCCUUCGGGUUGUAAAGCCCUUUUGUUGGGAAAGAAAAGCAGCAGGUUAAUACCCCGCUGUUCUGACGGUACCCAAAGAAUAAGCACCGGCUAACUUCGUG
Molecule: ribosomal RNA, 492 nt
Filed under: uncultured bacterium
Lineage: Bacteria
Description: partial 16S ribosomal RNA
Rfam family: Bacterial small subunit ribosomal RNA
Source: RNAcentral